This 87-nucleotide transfer RNA is filed under the name Hyphomicrobiaceae bacterium. RNAcentral's name for it is "tRNA-Leu". It matches the Rfam family "tRNA". From Rfam's summary of the family: Transfer RNA (tRNA) molecules are approximately 80 nucleotides in length. Their secondary structure includes four short double-helical elements and three loops (D, anti-codon, and T loops). The record is from RNAcentral. Lineage: Bacteria; Pseudomonadati; Pseudomonadota; Alphaproteobacteria; Hyphomicrobiales; Hyphomicrobiaceae.
GCGGACGUGGUGGAACCGGUAGACACACAGGACUUAAAAUCCUGAGUUCGAAAGAACGUGUGGGUUCGAGUCCCACCGUCCGCACCA